This 662-nucleotide ribosomal RNA is filed under the name Clostridium sporogenes. RNAcentral describes it as "bacterial SSU rRNA". It matches the Rfam family "Bacterial small subunit ribosomal RNA", at positions 874 to 1533 of the family's 1533-position model. Lineage: Bacteria; Bacillati; Bacillota; Clostridia; Eubacteriales; Clostridiaceae. The record is from RNAcentral.
UGGGGAGUACGGUCGCAAGAUUAAAACUCAAAGGAAUUGACGGGGGCCCGCACAAGCAGCGGAGCAUGUGGUUUAAUUCGAAGCAACGCGAAGAACCUUACCUAGACUUGACAUCUCCUGAAUUACUCUUAAUCGAGGAAGUCGCUUCGGCGACAGGAAGACAGGUGGUGCAUGGUUGUCGUCAGCUCGUGUCGUGAGAUGUUGGGUUAAGUCCCGCAACGAGCGCAACCCUUAUUGUUAGUUGCUACCAUUUAGUUGAGCACUCUAGCGAGACUGCCGUGGUUAACGCGGAGGAAGGUGGGGAUGACGUCAAAUCAUCAUGCCCCUUAUGUCUAGGGCUACACACGUGCUACAAUGGCUGGUACAAAGAGAUGCAAUACCGCGAGGUGGAGCUAAACUAUAAAACCAGUCUCAGUUCGGAUUGUAGGCUGAAACUCGCCUACAUGAAGCUGGAGUUGCUAGUAAUCGCGAAUCAGAAUGUCGCGGUGAAUACGUUCCCGGGCCUUGUACACACCGCCCGUCACACCAUGAGAGUUGGCAAUACCCAAAGUUCGUGAGCUAACCCGUAAGGGAGGCAGCGACCUAAGGUAGGGUCAGCGAUUGGGGUGAAGUCGUAACAAGGUAGCCGUAGGAGAACCUGCGGCUGGAUCACCUCCUUUCUA